Molecule: ribosomal RNA, 527 nt
Filed under: Penicillium aurantiogriseum
Lineage: Eukaryota; Fungi; Ascomycota; Eurotiomycetes; Eurotiales; Aspergillaceae
Description: eukaryotic LSU rRNA
Rfam family: 5.8S ribosomal RNA (bases 196-348)
Source: RNAcentral
ACCUGCGGAAGGAUCAUUACCGAGUGAGGGCCCUCUGGGUCCAACCUCCCACCCGUGUUUAUUUUACCUUGUUGCUUCGGCGGGCCCGCCUUAACUGGCCGCCGGGGGGCUUACGCCCCCGGGCCCGCGCCCGCCGAAGACACCCUCGAACUCUGUCUGAAGAUUGUAGUCUGAGUGAAAAUAUAAAUUAUUUAAAACUUUCAACAACGGAUCUCUUGGUUCCGGCAUCGAUGAAGAACGCAGCGAAAUGCGAUACGUAAUGUGAAUUGCAAAUUCAGUGAAUCAUCGAGUCUUUGAACGCACAUUGCGCCCCCUGGUAUUCCGGGGGGCAUGCCUGUCCGAGCGUCAUUGCUGCCCUCAAGCACGGCUUGUGUGUUGGGCCCCGUCCUCCGAUCCCGGGGGACGGGCCCGAAAGGCAGCGGCGGCACCGCGUCCGGUCCUCGAGCGUAUGGGGCUUUGUCACCCGCUCUGUAGGCCCGGCCGGCGCUUGCCGAUCAACCCAAAUUUUUAUCCAGGUGACCUCGGAU